GAUGAGCGCUGGCGGCGUGCCUAAUACAUGCAAGUCGAGCGAACGGACGAGAAGCUUGCUUCUCUGAUGUUAGCGGCGGACGGGUGAGUAACACGUGGAUAACCUACCUAUAAGACUGGGAUAACUUCGGGAAACCGGAGCUAAUACCGGAUAAUAUUUUGAACCGCAUGGUUCAAAAGUGAAAGACGGUCUUGCUGUCACUUAUAGAUGGAUCCGCGCUGCAUUAGCUAGUUGGUAAGGUAACGGCUUACCAAGGCAACGAUGCAUAGCCGACCUGAGAGGGUGAUCGGCCACACUGGAGCUGAGACACGGUCCAGACUCCUACGGGAGGCAGCAGUAGGGAAUCUUCCGCAAUGGGCGAAAGCCUGACGGAGCAACGCCGCGUGAGUGAUGAAGGUCUUCGGAUCGUAAAACUCUGUUAUUAGGGAAGAACAUAUGUGUAAGUAACUGUGCACAUCUUGACGGUACCUAAUCAGAAAGCCACGGCUAACUACGUG
RNAcentral lists this ribosomal RNA (497 nucleotides) under uncultured bacterium. RNAcentral describes it as "partial 16S ribosomal RNA". It matches the Rfam family "Bacterial small subunit ribosomal RNA", at positions 28 to 507 of the family's 1533-position model. The record is from RNAcentral.